Long non-coding RNA from Saccostrea cuccullata (small rock oyster), 277 nucleotides. RefSeq lists it as uncharacterized. NCBI's taxonomy places the organism in Eukaryota, Metazoa, Mollusca, Bivalvia, Ostreida, Ostreidae. The transcript is spliced from 2 exons. The record is from RefSeq and is a predicted model, not a curated record.
UUCAGAGUUAACAAGUACAAAAUCAAGCACUUCUGGGAUGACCACUUCAGUGAAAGAAAUAGGUCCGACGACAGAUAUGGAUUUUCGGAAUACAGCAGCGACAUCAUCUUUUCGUCUGAAGAUGCUUUUGUGCUGUGGUUCUUUUCUUCUUAAUUACAUGCUGUGUUAUUAUCAUGAACAUUGAAAAAAUCUACAACGUUAAUGGCAAUGAAUAAUUUGAAAUCAUACAAGUUCUUCCUCUUUGUGGUCGUUGAAUAAAUUGAUUAAUAAAAUCUCG